AGGGGCUGAAGACACUUGGUGUUCUGGAUGCUGUCAGAUAGUUUCAGAGCCUGAAUGGUUCAUGAACCAUCGACACUCACUGCUGACAUAGUGAAUCACCUUUCCAACAUCCGGCUGUCUGCAGUGGGAAGCAACACGAGAAGGCAGAGGAACGUCUGGUCCCAUUCUGGAGAGACUACCUGCAGGAUGCUAAAGAACAAAUGGGACCAUUAAAGCUUGGUAAAAUCCUGGCUUUUGCAACGGGAGCCAUCAACUGAUUUCUUGCAUGACCACUCAGUCAGCCCUGGACGCCAUUUGCCUGUGGCAAACACUUGCAUCAGUUGCCUUAAGUUGCCUGAGGUUUUCAUGGAGAGGACGGACUUUAGACUUUCAGCCCUCUGGUUGUGGACACUGCGCCCGGUAACGACACUGCCUCUGUUCAAGCCCCAUCUGUCCUACAUACAGCGAGCAACCUCUGUGUUCUCCACGCCACGUUCACGGCGUACCCUCAGAGGAAGUCCAAAAAGUUCUUGAUUUCCUGUUGUUGGUGUUUGUAGUCUGCUUUUCUUUCUAUUAUUUUUUAUACUUAACACGAGGAUUCUACUACUGCAUAACUUGUGCUCAUACCUGAAUUAGAAUGUAUUUAUACAUCUGUCCCGUAUUUACUACUCCCGUAACAAUUUACUCCUUUGUCAAAGAGCCAAAAUUAGUUAAAUAUUACACUACAGCUGA
Melanotaenia boesemani (Boeseman's rainbowfish) is the source of this 711-nucleotide long non-coding RNA. RefSeq lists it as uncharacterized. Lineage: Eukaryota; Metazoa; Chordata; Actinopteri; Atheriniformes; Melanotaeniidae. The record is from RefSeq and is a predicted model, not a curated record. The transcript has 3 exons.